CCGGGCUGUCCCGGCUCUGCUCCCAGCCUAGCUGUGCAGCCUGGGGUGGGGGGGGGGGGGGGGCUCUCUGAGCCUCAGUUUCUCCAUCGGUGAAAUGGGGGUAGUUAGUCCUCCCUCGGGGUUGUGAGAGUGGAGAGCGAGCAGAGUGAAGCUGUCGCUGACAUCAUCCACAACGGGUGGGACAUUGGAUGACGCCACCCCCUCCCCAAGGCAGAGCGCCAUCCCAACAACGGGGUCUGGAGCCCGACGUCCUGGGUUCGAAACCCCUCCUCUGCCACUCAUCAACCUGCGUGACGGGUUCAUCUGUCUGCGCCUCUGUUUCCCCUUCUGUAAAAGAUGGUACCCUGGUCUCGGAGCUGCUGAGGGGAGUAAAUGAGCCUGUGGGAAGCUGGGUCGGGCCUAUCGUCAACCGAAAGAGGUGAGCCUCUUCCCUCUGACAAGAUUGAAAUUCUAGAGAAAAUCAGAGAUAGAAGCAUGGUGUCUGUACCAGCCCUGGUGAGUCUGGGGAGGCCCCGAAUCUCCAUCCCAGACCCUGGCCACCUCUUAACUCCCCUCUUUCCCUUUCAGCCUCUCCUUUACUACAUCCCUCCGCUCCCAGAUCCCCAGUUUACCUCCCUGUGAGAUGGGCUCAAACAGGCCCAUCCUCUUCUCCAUUCUCCCGCAAAACUGCUCCUAAGCCCGACCCUUUCUCCCCAGAUUCUGGUCCAACCCCAGCAGAAUCUGUCCCUGUAACCAGCAAGGCACUGCCUCCCUGGUCUCCGUGCUUCUGCUCUCAGCCCCCAUAGAACCUUCCCUCCAUGUGGCCAGGGUCAGACUCGUCCUGCCUUUCUCGAGAACCCUCUAUGGCUCCCACCUUCCGUGGGGUAAGAGCCAAAGGCCUUGCCAUAGCCCCAGGACCCUGCUGGCCUUGCGGUUCCCACUUCUUUCCAACUGUUGGCAGGGAGGCUGGGGAGAGCCCCGGGUCCUACGGCCUCCAUCCAGCUGCACCCCGGGAUGCUGCCAGAGACUCUUGGUCUCCUUUGCGAGAAAGAAUUCGAGGACAGACCAGGCAUAACGGCUGAGUGGUUCAAGAAGGAACGUGUAGUUCAAGCGAGAGUACACUCUUGAGAGGCUGUGUACCAGGUACUAGUUCAUCCCAUCACCCCCAACAACGCUAUAAGGCAAAGUCUGAGCUUCCUGGGGCUGGAACAGAUGACCGUGAACCUGCCACAUUUCAAACAACUUGUUCUCACACAGUCCAGGGGGCCGGAGGCCUGGAACCCAAGUGGUGGCGAGGUGGGCUCCUCCUGGGGGCUCAGAGGGAGCGCCCAACCCAGGCCUGUCUCCUGGCUUCCCGUGGUCGCCGGCAGCCUGUGGGGUUCCUUGGCUUGUGGCUGCAUCACCCCGAUGUCUGCCUCUAUGUCCACGUGCACGUGGCCUUUGUCUCCGUCUUCUUCUUUGUCCCUUAACCCGAGUCCCCGAAGCUCUUGUCUCCAGAUCCAAAGCUCAUUAUGUUUGCAGUGACCCUUGUUAAAGAACAAAAAUUGGACCAAGUAGAAGAUCUAAUUGCCUUUAUCAAACCAGACACGGGGCGCCUGGGUGGUUCAGUCGAUUAAGCGUCCGACCUCAGCUCAGGUUACGAUCUCAUGGCUCAUGGGUUCGAGCCCCGCAGCGGGCUCUGUGCUGACAGCUCAGAGCCCGGAGCCUGCUUCGGAUUCUGUGUCUUUCUCUCUCUGCUCCUCCCCCGCUCACACUGUCUCUCAGAAAAUAGAUAAAUGUUAAAAAAAAAAAAUUGUUUUUUUUUAAUCAGGCCAGGCACAAAUGGGACAGCAUUGCACCUAGUGACUGGAGGGGAGCUGGGAGGAGUUGUAAAAAAAAUGGAAGGUUUUUACCAGAAGGGUGGGGCUAGAAAGUUAUUAGCAAAAGAAAAGAGGGGCGCCUGGGUGGCUCAGUCGGUUGAGCGUCCGACUUCAGCUCAGGUCGCUAUCUUGCGGUCCGUGAGUUUGAGCCCCGCGUCAGGCCCUGGGAUGGCCCAGAGCCUGGAGCCUGCUUCCGAUUCUGUGUCUCCCUCUCUCUCUGACCCUCCCUCGCACACGCUCUCUCUCCCAAAAAUAAAUAAUUUAAAAAAAUUAAAGAACAAGAAAGAAAGAAAAUUCCUGGCUGACUGGUUAAGACUUACAUUCUCAGGGAGGUUGAAUUUGCAAUUAGGUUAGGUAUUAAGCCCCUUUUUGGCCUAAGGGACACUAUCUUGGACAUUUGGUUUUGCUUUCACGCCCUUUAAGGUCACAUUCUCAGGUUGUGGGUAGACAUCUCUUUUUUGUGAGGGGGGGGCACAACCCAGCAUUGUCCAAGAAGAUCAUUAUCAGCUCUACUUUAUGGGCAACUGAGGCACAGAGAGAUCAGGUUGCUGCUCUGAGGGGCUAGGACUUCAACCCUGGCUGUCGGGAGCCUGAGUCUAUUCGCUUCACCGCUCUGGAAUCCUCUCCAAUCUGCUGUGGGCCAAGCCCUUGCCGGAAGCUGGGGACAUCGAGGCGAGCAAGGAUUGGAAGCAACAGAGAUCAUUUAAAAAUGCCUUGUGUUAUGGAAAAUUUCAAACAUGCCCUGAAGUCAAGAAUGCACAGUGACCCAUGGGCCCGUCCCCGGACGUUCAGUGACCCAGGAGGCACUGACACUGAGUUCCAUGACACUCCUUCCCCCUCGACCUUAUGAGGUUCCUGCUAAUCCCAGGGUCAUGCUUCUCAUCCGAGACUUGAGAUGGGUCUUACAGGAUGAGCCCAGCUCCAAAAUCAAAAUCACCCUUGAGACCCUCUCUCCCCGUCUCUCCCCCAUCUGUCUGUCUCUCUCACAGGUGGACUGGGUCCCCUGUCUCACCUCCCCCGUCUCCUGCAUCUACCUCGGGGCCUCCAGUCUGAGUGGGAUGAGCCACGCUGUCGAACCUCCGGGGAAUGGUUGACGGGCUGGACUUUGAAAGGGGCCAAAGUUAUACACGCUGAGCCCAACCUGGGCCUGGCUGCCUUGCCCCACCCGUUAACCCCCUCCCCUCAUCCUGGGAGCCACAUUGCUGGGUCCCAAAGCCUCCCACCCCAGCUCCCCCAUUGGUCACCCUGAAUCCAACCUCCUGGUGACCCCAGGGGCUCCGGGGUCUCAAGGCACCGGUCUGGGCUCCUCAGCACCCCCAAGAUUAUUCUACAAGAGAAGCAGGACCACGAGUGGACCUUGUCAAGGGGCGGCUGCGCACUGGGCAUGGCUGAGGCGGUGCUGCUGAACGCCGCCUCACUGGGUUGGCCCGCACCCUGCAAGGAAGCCUGCCGUGUAGACGAACAACUCAGGCACUUGGACAACGGUGGGAAUCGCGGUCCACCCGUUGUGUCGAUUUACGUCAGCAUAAAGCAAACACGUACAGCAGACAGGGCAAAGGACACCAAAUCCAAUCUAGGAUUUAUUUUUAUUUUAUUUUAUUUUUGUUUAUCCUGAGAGAGAGAUGGAGCGCGUGUGAGCAGGGGAGGGGCAGAGACAGUGAGAGGGAGAGAGAGAAUCCCAAGGAGGUUAUUAUGUCAUUGCACAGAUGGGGAAACGGAGGCAGCGUCUGGGUGUGGGGCUUUGACAGCUGUGACAUCUCCCAGCCUAGACUGACUGCUUUUAUCUUCUUUUCUGUGUUUAUGUAACAGUAUGUUCGUGUGUAUUUCGCCAAGGCUUUGCAGAUACCACCUUAGGGUCGCCAUGAUUUAAAAUACAGAUGCGUUUUAUUCCGAAGGGAGGAAGGGAACAUUACCAGGCACGUCUGGACAGCUAGAGUCUAUAGUGAGAUAGCACUUGACGUCCUUACGUAGGUACAGCAAAUAACUCAAGUUCCCCCAACAGAAGACUUUGUAUAAAAGCACGUGAAUUUUAUGGGGCGCCUGGGUGGCUCAGUCGGUUAAGCGUCCGACGUCGGCUCAGGUCAUGAUCUCUCAGUCCGUGAGUUUGAGCCCCGCGUCGGGCUCUGGGCUGACAGUUCGGAGCCUGGAGCCUGCUUCCGAUUCUGUGUCUCCCUCUCUCUCUGACCCUCCCCCCAUUCAUGCUCUGUCUCUCUCUGUCUCAGAAAUAAAUAAACGUUAAAAAAAAAAUUAAAAAAAAAAAGCACGUGAAUUUUGUUAUGAUGUUGCCUUUCCCCAACUGGUCUUAAAAUAAAAUUUCAUAUAACUGUGUUAAAGGUCAGCUUUGUUAGGGCAUAACUCCCAUACAGUAGAAUUCAGUACGUGACUCACGUACUGAGCCUGGGUGGCUCAGCUGGUGAAGCGUCCGACUCUUGAUUUCAGCUCAGGUCAUGAUCUCGUGGUUCGUGGGAUCGAGCCCAGAGUUGGGCUCUGUGCUGAUGGCGAAGAGCCUGCUUGGGAUUCUCUCUCUCCGUCUCUCUGCCCCUCCCCUUCCUGAGCUCUCUUUCUCUCUCUCUCUCUCGAAAUAAAUAAAUAA
Acinonyx jubatus (cheetah) is the source of this 4431-nucleotide long non-coding RNA. RefSeq lists it as uncharacterized. Lineage: Eukaryota; Metazoa; Chordata; Mammalia; Carnivora; Felidae. The transcript has 4 exons. The record is from RefSeq and is a predicted model, not a curated record.